Molecule: ribosomal RNA, 675 nt
Filed under: Escherichia coli
Lineage: Bacteria; Pseudomonadati; Pseudomonadota; Gammaproteobacteria; Enterobacterales; Enterobacteriaceae
Description: partial 23S ribosomal RNA
Rfam family: Bacterial large subunit ribosomal RNA
Source: RNAcentral
UUGAGCCUUGAUGUGUAGGAUAGGUGGGAGGCUUAGAAGUGUGGACGCCAGUCUGCAUGGAGCCGACCUUGAAAUACCACCCUUUAAUGUUUGAUGUUCUAACGUUGACCCGUAAUCCGGGUUGCGGACAGUGUCUGGUGGGUAGUUUGACUGGGGCGGUCUCCUCCUAAAGAGUAACGGAGGAGCACGAAGGUUGGCUAAUCCUGGUCGGACAUCAGGAGGUUAGUGCAAUGGCAUAAGCCAGCUUGACUGCGAGCGUGACGGCGCGAGCAGGUGCGAAAGCAGGUCAUAGUGAUCCGGUGGUUCUGAAUGGAAGGGCCAUCGCUCAACGGAUAAAAGGUACUCCGGGGAUAACAGGCUGAUACCGCCCAAGAGUUCAUAUCGACGGCGGUGUUUGGCACCUCGAUGUCGGCUCAUCACAUCCUGGGGCUGAAGUAGGUCCCAAGGGUAUGGCUGUUCGCCAUUUAAAGUGGUACGCGAGCUGGGUUUAGAACGUCGUGAGACAGUUCGGUCCCUAUCUGCCGUGGGCGCUGGAGAACUGAGGGGGGCUGCUCCUAGUACGAGAGGACCGGAGUGGACGCAUCACUGGUGUUCGGGUUGUCAUGCCAAUGGCACUGCCCGGUAGCUAAAUGCGGAAGAGAUAAGUGCUGAAAGCAUCUAAGCACGAAACUUGCC